GGAGUCGGCAGUCUGCAGCCCGGAAGAGGGUUCUCCCAGGAACCACACCAUGCCAGCACCCCGAUCUUGGACUUGAAGCCUCCAGAACCACAAGAAGCUGUCUUCCCUGCCUUGGCAAUCAUGGAAAUGUGCGUGUGAUGGAAAUGCUAUAGGACGGAAGCAAUCUAGAGCUCCAGAUCACUUCGUGAAGACUGAGAAGACCAUGUCCAAGAGCAUGUCCAUGAGUGUGGUUUCCAUCCGCAGCCAGGAGAAGGCUCCUGUCGUGCGGGGUUGCUGUUGUUAGCCACCCAUCAUUUCAGGCUUCCGUGUUCCUUGAUUCCUGACUCUCUUCCUUCAUCUUCAACAUCAGCAAUGGCAGCACUCAGAGGAGCAGAAGGAAGACUGAGUCAGUCCCAUGGAGGUCGAGGGAGGAGAGCAGGUGAGUCCGGAGAUGUGGGCCACGCCGCUGGCUGUCGCAAC
Molecule: long non-coding RNA, 459 nt
Organism: Neogale vison (American mink)
Lineage: Eukaryota; Metazoa; Chordata; Mammalia; Carnivora; Mustelidae
Exons: 4
Source: RefSeq, a predicted model, not a curated record